GACGAACGCUGGCGGCGUGCUUAACACAUGCAAGUCGAACGAAGAGCGACGGAAGCUUGCUUCUAUCAAUCUUAGUGGCGAACGGGUGAGUAACGCGUAAUCAACCUGCCCUUCAGAGGGGGACAACAGUUGGAAACGACUGCUAAUACCGCAUACGAUCUAACCUCGACAUCGAGGAUAGAUGAAAGGUGGCCUCUACAUGUAAGCUAUCACUGAAGGAGGGGACUGCGUCUGAUUAGCUAGUUGGAGGGGUAACGGCCCACCAAGGCGAUGAUCAGUAGCCGGUCUGAGAGGAUGAACGGCCACAUUGGGACUGAGACACGGCCCAGACUCCUACGGGAGGCAGCAGUGGGGAAUCUUCCGCAAUGGACGAAAGUCUGACGGAGCAACGCCGCGUGAGUGAUGACGGCCUUCGGGUUGUAAAGCUCUGUUAAUCGGGACGAAAGGCCUUCUUGCGAAUAGUGAGAAGGAUUGACGGUACCGGAAUAGAAAGCCACGGCUAACUACGUG
Molecule: ribosomal RNA, 510 nt
Filed under: uncultured bacterium
Lineage: Bacteria
Description: partial 16S ribosomal RNA
Rfam family: Bacterial small subunit ribosomal RNA
Source: RNAcentral